This 29-nucleotide non-coding RNA is filed under the name Mus musculus (house mouse). The record is from RNAcentral. Lineage: Eukaryota; Metazoa; Chordata; Mammalia; Rodentia; Muridae.
UGCCACAAUGUCUAAAAUGUAUUAUAAUG